Rhincodon typus (whale shark) is the source of this 1266-nucleotide long non-coding RNA. RefSeq lists it as uncharacterized. NCBI's taxonomy places the organism in Eukaryota, Metazoa, Chordata, Chondrichthyes, Orectolobiformes, Rhincodontidae. The transcript has 2 exons. The record is from RefSeq and is a predicted model, not a curated record.
AUCCCAUUUACCAGCACUUAGCCCACAGCCUUGACUGUUAUGACGUGCCAAGUGCGCAUUCAGGGCUCAGUUGUGGAGUUGGCAUCGGCGGUGAGUGGGCUCAGUGUAAACGCGAAGUGAACUCAGCGUGGACUUACAGCAGUCGGCAACUAAGCCCAGCGUGGACACAAAGUGAGCCCAGUGCUUCUGCAUCAUCAAAGUGUCUUAGUUCCGACUCAUGGCUGCUGUGGCAGAGGCGAAUUUGGAUUCUCUGUGUCGAGCGCAGAUUCGUGGAGGUUCAGGCGAGUUUGGGCCCAGUAUGAGCCCCAGCAUCAGUGGCUACAACAGCAAGGUGGGGCCAAAGUGGACUCAUGGCAGCAAGCAGAGUCGAGUUUGGGCUGGGUGUGGUACACAGCGGCAUCGGUGGUGGCUGUAUUGUCGAGGUCCAGCAAGGACUCAUAGUGGAGGGGGCAUUGAUGGAGGUGUGAUGGUGCUGAAGAUUUGCGACUCUUGUUCCAGCAACGGUGGCGCAGCGAUGGAGACUCGUGGCUGGUCACCAAGCCCGUGAUCCAUGACGGAGCAUUUAACAAGAAGGGCUGUAAAGUUGAACACUGUUUCUUUAUUUCUCUGCCUUUGUGUGGUAUUGUUUUGUUUUAUUUUUCUGUGUUUUAAGGUGGAAGGGGAGAAUGGUGACAUUAUACAACAAUUUUCACUGUAUUUAGAAUAGAAUAGAAUAUAGAAAAGAAUAUCCUUUUAUUGUCAUAUGUACUCCAUUGUAGCUUUUACAAUGUCUGCCUUCGUAUGGCGACAUUUUAGGUACAAGUACCUAGGUACAAUUCUUGGAUACGGUAGUGGAAUAAAAGUAAUUGCAUUACUUUACAGAAUUGAAAAGUAAGCUAAAAAUAGGACAUCAUUAAAGGGUUGACAAUAAAGUAAGUUAAGAAAUUUCAAAUAUACAUUACAUUGUAGUAGCUCAGCACAGGGCCUCUGUGCAUGGUUUGACCACCCCCACCAGACCCCAGUCCAAGAGCUGUCCCCACUCCCCUCCAAGCCCAAGUCCACUCCAUACUGGCACUCAGCUGCUCUUAGGUACAUUCCAGGACUGCCUCCCUCGCGCUGGUCUCCAGCCGCCUGGGACUUGCUGCCUGCGGGCUCCUCCAGGGCUCGCUGCUGGUCUGUUCAGGGCCUUGCAGCCCACAUGCUGCUCCAGGGCUCGCUGCUUGUAGUGUUUGGGAAAUUGCAGCACUAUGAAAUCUUGUGAUUUCAAAUAAACCCGUUGGACCAUAA